AAAACUGCUGUAUUCAUAGGGUAGGAUGAUAAUCAUAACAUUGCCACAGUUUAGUCACCACUGAUAGCAAGUGGGUUCACAAUACUCAAAACACAAAGGAAUCAGAAAGGAUAACUUAUUCAUGAUGCACAAAAAGUCUCCUACAGCCAAGCCACUCCUAGACUACUACCCGAAACAGUUAAAUCAUCCUCCUGACCACGGAGAUGGGCAAGCUUGCACGCUGACGACAAUGUCAAGUUGAGCUAGCAAACACAACCAUUCAUCUUCGACGGAAUAACACGGUGCAGUAAGAGCCAUUCAGUAAUUAUCCAUUCAGUAAACAAUACAUGCUAUUAUUAAUCUGUUCCAAACACAACCAAUCAGUAAACACAACUUAUGCAGCAUCAUUAAACUCAUCCUCCAGUUGCCUUUUAGUGGGUGGUCUCCCCCUCUUCCAUCCCAUCUUGCCCCGCAAACUCCCACUUGCACCUCGUUUCUUAUUGAUGUUAUCCGGGUUCAAAUCACACCCCGUACUAUAAUGACCUAAAGAUCCGCAAUAUCCACAUGCUGCUGCCCCUGUGCCUUAUUGGAACUUGCAUGUUCAUUAACAACCUGUUUCCCUCCACGCUUCCUCCCCUUUGUUCUUACCUCCCUUGGUGCACACUCUGAAAUUUGGACUGCACUUUCAACUGCUGCAUCUUGUUCAGCCCAACUAGCUAUAGGUUCACCUAUAAUAUGUGGGAUCACAUCACUUUGUUCUUCUGUAUGAUCCCCCACAUGUAAUGCUCCUGUAUUCACCCCACUCAACCAAUGCAGACAACCUUUCUCGAACCAAUGCUCACAGCCUUUCUUGAACCCAAGACUUGUUUUGCGGCAUGCCC
This 860-nucleotide long non-coding RNA is filed under the name Setaria viridis. RNAcentral's name for it is "long non-coding RNA (SVIR_LNC010507)". The record is from RNAcentral. Lineage: Eukaryota; Viridiplantae; Streptophyta; Magnoliopsida; Poales; Poaceae.